GACGAACGCUGGCGGCGUGCUUAACACAUGCAAGUCGAACGGAAAGGCCCCUUUGGGGGUACUCGAGUGGCGAACGGGUGAGUAACACGUGCGUAACCUGCCCUUGACUUCGGGAUAACUUCAGUAAACUGGGGCUAAUACCGGAUAGGAAUCCUUGCUGCAUGGUGGGGGUUGGAAAGCUUCGGCGGUUUUGGAUGGACUCGCGGCUUAUCAGCUUGUUGGUGGGGUAGUGGCUUACCAAGGCUUUGACGGGUAGCCGGCCUGAGAGGGCGACCGGCCACAUUGGGACUGGGAUACGGCCCAGACUCCUACGGGAGGCAGCAGUGGGGAAUAUUGCACAAUGGGCGGGAGCCUGAUGCAGCAACGCCGCGUGCGGGAUGACGGCCUUCGGGUUGUAAACCGGUUUCAGCAGGGGCGAAGCUUGUGGUGACGGUACCUGCAGAAGAAGCACCGGCUAACUACGUG
This 465-nucleotide ribosomal RNA is filed under the name uncultured bacterium. RNAcentral's name for it is "partial 16S ribosomal RNA". It matches the Rfam family "Bacterial small subunit ribosomal RNA", at positions 28 to 507 of the family's 1533-position model. The record is from RNAcentral.